UACGUAGGGACCUAGCGUUGUCCGGAAUCAUUGGGCGUAAAGCGCGCGUAGGCGGCCCGGUAAGUCCGUUGUAAAAGUCAAAGGCUCAACCUUUGAAAGCCGAUGGAUACAGCCGGGCUAGAGUACGGAAGAGGCGAGUAGAAUUCCUGGUGUAGCGGUGGAAUGCGCAGAUAUCAGGAGGAAUACCCAUAGCGAAGGCAGCUCGCUGGGACGUUACUGACGCUGAGGCGCGAAAGCGUGGGGAGCGAACAGG
RNAcentral lists this ribosomal RNA (253 nucleotides) under uncultured bacterium. RNAcentral describes it as "partial 16S ribosomal RNA". It matches the Rfam family "Bacterial small subunit ribosomal RNA", at positions 524 to 776 of the family's 1533-position model. The record is from RNAcentral.